CGAGCCCUGCUGUGUUCGCGGUGAAGCUGCCAUUGUGAUGAGCCAACACCAUCACAAAGGGAGUCCGGGCUCUGCGGGCGUAGGGCAGGCUGUCCGCUGGCACGGACAGUAGCCCAGGGAGUCCGCAGGAGGGCACCCACCUGCCUGAGCACCGGGUUCAUCAACGGGUAGCCUCAGCGGCACGGCGGGGCUCUU
RNAcentral lists this non-coding RNA (195 nucleotides) under Limnochordaceae bacterium. Its description in RNAcentral is "6S RNA". It matches the Rfam family "6S / SsrS RNA". Rfam says of the family: E. coli 6S RNA was the first non coding RNA to be sequenced, but its function was unknown until recently. Lineage: Bacteria; Bacillati; Bacillota; Limnochordia; Limnochordales; Limnochordaceae. RNAcentral also lists the same sequence under 1 other name. The record is from RNAcentral.